RNAcentral lists this ribosomal RNA (253 nucleotides) under uncultured bacterium. Its description in RNAcentral is "partial 16S ribosomal RNA". It matches the Rfam family "Bacterial small subunit ribosomal RNA", at positions 524 to 776 of the family's 1533-position model. The record is from RNAcentral.
UACAGAGGGUGCAAGCGUUAAUCGGAAUUACUGGGCGUAAAGCGUGCGUAGACGGCUGCGUAAGUCAGAUGUGAAAGCCCCGGGCUCAACCUGGGAAUUGCAUUUGAGACUGCGUAGCUAGGGUGCGGAAGAGGGAAGCGGAAUUUCCGGCGUAGCGGUGAAAUGCGUAGAUAUCGGAAGGAACACCAGUGGCGAAAGCGGCUUCCUGGUCCAGCACCGACGUUCAGGCACGAAAGCGUGGGGAGCAAACAGG